AAAGAUUUAGUUAAAAAAUAACAUUAGCUUGUCAAACUAAAAUUAAUUAAAAAUUAUUAAUCUUUA
This 66-nucleotide transfer RNA is filed under the name Blaps rhynchoptera. RNAcentral describes it as "tRNA-Asp". The record is from RNAcentral. Lineage: Eukaryota; Metazoa; Arthropoda; Insecta; Coleoptera; Tenebrionidae.